ACUUGCCAUUAAUCUUCAAGAUAUUGCUUGUUUUCUUUUGUUCUGGCCUUGAACUAUUUCACUUUGUAGCUGUUUCUAUAUCAUGUUAACUCGUCAUGGUUCAUAUUUCUGCAUGUUUUUUUUGUCUUUCUUAUUUGGCUCUCCGUUGUUUGUGUAGUUCGUGUAGAUGAUAUGAAUAAGUUCAUGCUUCAUAGCGAGGAAUUAAAGGUUAUUAUGACACUCAAUCCUAUCUAUACUCUCGUAGGAUGAUAAAUUUGAGAGGCUGUUCAAAUCGUAUGCUGAUAAAGUCAAGCUUGAUCUGAAAAAUAUGGUUUUCUGCUUUGAUGGGGAUAAAAUUAAUCCUACUGCAACUCCCAGUAGCCUCGGGAUGGAGGAUGAUGACAUCAUUGAAGUGCAUGUAAAACCAAGUUGUUGAGGUAAAAUCGUUGUCGUUGAAAUUCUAGCAAUGUUCUUCUGCUUCUCCUUCCCCUUCCUCCAUCCUGGGAACCUUUUCAUUGGUAAAAUGCCAAACUCAUUCAUGGGAAAAUGCAGCUCUCAAUUCCUUUUUACAUAGCUUCUAAAAUGAUACAAAGAAGAAAAAGGAGACAUAUCCAUACCAAUUAACCCAUCCCGGGAACCUUUUCAUUGGUAAAAUGCCAAACUCAUUCAUGGGAAAAUGCAGCUCUCAAUUCCUUUUUACAUAGCUUCUAAAAUGAUACAAAGAAGAAAAAG
This 711-nucleotide long non-coding RNA is filed under the name Nicotiana tabacum (common tobacco). RNAcentral describes it as "long non-coding RNA (NTAB_LNC016224)". The record is from RNAcentral. Lineage: Eukaryota; Viridiplantae; Streptophyta; Magnoliopsida; Solanales; Solanaceae.